RNAcentral lists this ribosomal RNA (405 nucleotides) under uncultured bacterium. RNAcentral describes it as "bacterial SSU rRNA". It matches the Rfam family "Bacterial small subunit ribosomal RNA", at positions 34 to 440 of the family's 1533-position model. The record is from RNAcentral.
CGCUAGCGGCGUGCCUAACACAUGCAAGUCGAACGUGAGAGGGUACUUGUAUCCUUGAAAGUGGCGGACGGGUGAGUAAGACGUAGGUGACCUGCCUUGAAGUGGGGGAUAACCAUUGGAAACGAUGGCUAAUACCGCAUAAGCUGGUGACGAUGGGGAAUCGUUAUCAGGAAAGCUUUAGUGCUUUGAGAGGGGCCUACGGCCGAUUAGCUAGUUGGUGAGGUAAAGGCUCACCAAGGCGAUGAUCGGUAGCUGGUCUGAGAGGACGAUCAGCCACACGGGAACUGAGACACGGUCCCGACUCCUACGGGGGCAGCAGUGAGGAAUAUUCGGCAAGUGGGGCAACCCUGACCGAGCAACGCCGCGUGGAGGAUGACGGUUUUCGGAUUGUAAACUCCUUUUCUC